CAGUAGCCACGGUAAUGCGUAGGUGGCAAGCGUUGUCCGGAAUUAUUGGGCGUAAAGCGCGCGCAGGCGGAUAGGUCAGUCUGUCUUAAAAGUUCGGGGCUUAACCCCGUGAUGGGAUGGAAACUGCCAAUCUAGAGUAUCGGAGAGGAAGGUGGAAUUCCUAGUGUAGCGGUGAAAUGCGUAGAUAUUAGGAAGAACACCAGUGGCGAAGGCGACUUUCUGGACGAAAACUGACGCUGAGGCGCGAAAGCCAGGGGAGCGAACGGGAUUAGAGACCCGCGUAGUCCCUGUCUCUUAUACA
This 301-nucleotide ribosomal RNA is filed under the name uncultured bacterium. Its description in RNAcentral is "partial 16S ribosomal RNA". It matches the Rfam family "Bacterial small subunit ribosomal RNA", at positions 509 to 809 of the family's 1533-position model. The record is from RNAcentral.